This 740-nucleotide ribosomal RNA is filed under the name Rothia mucilaginosa. Its description in RNAcentral is "bacterial SSU rRNA". It matches the Rfam family "Bacterial small subunit ribosomal RNA", at positions 28 to 776 of the family's 1533-position model. Lineage: Bacteria; Bacillati; Actinomycetota; Actinomycetes; Micrococcales; Micrococcaceae. The record is from RNAcentral.
GACGAACGCUGGCGGCGUGCUUAACACAUGCAAGUCGAACGAUGAAGCCUAGCUGCUAGGCGGAUUAGUGGCGAACGGGUGAGUAAUACGUGAGUAACCUACCUUUAACUCUGGGAUAAGCCUGGGAAACUGGGUCUAAUACCGGAUACGACCAAUCUCCGCAUGGGGUGUUGGUGGAAAGCGUUAUGUAGUGGUUAUAGAUGGGCUCACGGCCUACCAGCUUGUUGGUGAGGUAACGGCUCACCAAGGCGACGACGGGUAGCCGGCCUGAGAGGGUGACCGGCCACACUGGGACUGAGACACGGCCCAGACUCCUACGGGAGGCAGCAGUGGGGAAUAUUGCACAAUGGGCGCAAGCCUGAUGCAGCGACGCCGCGUGAGGGAUGACGGCCUUCGGGUUGUAAACCUCUGUUAGCAGGGAAGAAGAGAAAUUGACGGUACCUGCAGAGAAAGCGCCGGCUAACUACGUGCCAGCAGCCGCGGUAAUACGUAGGGCGCGAGCGUUGUCCGGAAUUAUUGGGCGUAAAGAGCUUGUAGGCGGUUUGUCGCGUCUGCUGUGAAAGGCCGGGGCUUAACCCCGUGUAUUGCAGUGGGUACGGGCAGACUAGAGUGCAGUAGGGGAGACUGGAACUCCUGGUGUAGCGGUGGAAUGCGCAGAUAUCAGGAAGAACACCGAUGGCGAAGGCAGGUCUCUGGGCUGUAACUGACGCUGAGAAGCGAAAGCAUGGGGAGCGAACAGG